RNAcentral lists this long non-coding RNA (3866 nucleotides) under Ananas comosus (pineapple). Its description in RNAcentral is "long non-coding RNA (ACOM_LNC025618)". Lineage: Eukaryota; Viridiplantae; Streptophyta; Magnoliopsida; Poales; Bromeliaceae. The record is from RNAcentral.
UCAACUCAACUCACCUCGGGUUCUUCUUCUCUCUCUCUCUCCCUCUCUCUCUCUCUCUCUCUCUCCCUUCCCCACCAAAACCCUAACCCUAACCCUAACACAAAUUUGCUCAUCAACUACUAUGCUGCACAAGCGGCGUCGACCUCGCCAUGAUCGAACGCCUCCUGAGGACAGCGAGAUCAUAGCCGUCGAUCAUCUGACCGGUUGGAUCUCGCCACGUCUCCCCACAAUUCCGCCCUUGUCACGACACGAUACACCUCUCUCUCUCUCCUAAUUUUUUCCCCAAUUUUUCCGAUUUUUUCCUCUUUUUUCUUGAUCCGAUCUCGCUGGUGAUGUGGUGCUGAGAAUUGGUUCUCCGGUUUCUUCGCACCUCCCAUAACCAGCAAAAUUAAUUCCUUUUUUUCAAAAAAAAAAAAAGAUCACGAUCAUAAUUUUACGGGUGAUUUUGGUUCAAUUUUGCUUUAUUUCCCCCCCGAUCUCACCCAUGCCACGGUCGUGACAUUUUCCAUUAAUUUUGCCUCAAUUUUUCGCUAAUUCUCAUCUUGAUCUCUAGCUUUUUCUCGAUCGGCUUUCUCAAUUUCUUAUUUAUUUAUUUAUAUUUUUUAUUUUUUAUUUUCCAAAAAAUUUGAUUAAUUAUUAUAGUGUUAAAUUUUACCCAAUGAUUUAUCUAACUAAAGCAAUUUAAUUUUAAAAAAUUGCAAGUCAAAACGGAGUUUUCCUUCUUUUUUUUUUUUUUUUGAGAAACCAGGCAUAGUCAUGUAUUAGCAUAAAGAGAUUAUUUUAUUUUUAAAAGUAUUAUUAUACUCCAAUGGCUAAUACAGUUACAUGCUUGGGAGAUUGAGAUAAUUGAACGGGGCCUAUCGUUACACGGGCCAUGGCCAAUCCCAUGCUGGCACGUGUACAUCUGGGCCUCACAAUUCACAUUCUCUGAGAAAGAAUUUGCUCGGACGAGAAGCGCUUUUCGGAGAAGCAUAAAAAGCUAGUGUAUUAACAAUAGUUCUAUAGCUUACCCAUUGCAACUAUUAGUAACAUAGUUUAUUUUGACUUUAUUAAGGUUUUAAUUUGACAAAAACUUCGAUAUUUUUUUCUUUGAACUGAGAUAUAGAAGUGUUUCUCACAACAAUUUGCAAUGCACUUAUGAACAACAACAACAACAACAACAACAUAAAAAAAAACAAGGACGCAAAAUUAAGAGGCAAUAUUUAUGUUUAGAUUUAUUCUGCACUAAAUUUCAAAAUGUUGAAAAAAAAGAAGGAACAGCAUUUUUGUAAAAUAUUAGUAAAAAUAAUCUAUGAAAAUUGUUUUUAUACUUGUUACUGAACAAAAAAAAUAGAGGGCUUCUUAUGAUCCUUGUAUUGAGAUAAGAAGGUUACAGUGAAAGAAGCAAUUUUUAUAAUAUGGUGACACGGGAUGUUUCUUUUUUUGAAUGGUGAGAAUGUAAUUUUCGAAUGAUUCAAAAGUUAGAAGUAAUGUAUGGAGCGUCUCUGCCAUGUCAAAAUGUCCUCUGUGGAAGCUGUACCUUUUUUUAUUUUUAUGGAGACUUGCUUAAAUUUUUAUCUUUUAGAAAAUAACUUUGGCUAAAAAAGAGCAAUUUUAGUUAAUUUGUAGGUCAAAUUUCAUUAAAAAACCGCCCGUUUUUUUAUUUUACAGGUUUGGUAUAAAUUUUUUAGAAAACUAAUUAGAAUUUUCGUUGCCUUCUUUUUUGAUUUUUUUUUCUCUGGUUCAUUUAUUUGUCAUUUUUCGUCGUUUCUUCCUCUUUGUUUCUUUAAACGGUUCGACUCCUUUUGCUUUUCCUUCCUUCUCUAUCAUUUUUUUUUCUUUCCUAUUUCGUUUUCUCUUUCUUCGUUUUCUCUUUCUUCGUUAAUAUUUCGCUGAAUUAUAUAUAAAAAUUUUUAGGUAGCACACUUAGAUUUAUUUUAAUUUCUUACCAAAAUAUUUUUUCACUAUUUCUUUCCCUCCUUCAAAUUACAAAUAUUUUUAUGAAAUCUAUUAAAAUUUUAUUUUUUGCAUUUUGUGAAUUCUUGCAUUCAAAUUAUAAAUACUUUAUCCAAAUUUUUUAUUAAAACAUUAGUUACAAAUAAAAUCAAUUUGGAGGUAAUUGUAGUUCUAGUAAAAUGGCACAAGCUGACAUGAAAGGGCAAAGAAUCAAAUAGCAAUUAGUUUGAAAAUAAUAGUAUGAUACUAAAAAUAAAUUUCUUUUACUAUAAAAUUAAAUUAAUUGAACACUCACAUAAAACAAAGACAAAAAAAAUUAUUAUUAUAAAUUUGUAAACAAUAUAACUGAGUAUAUUGACAUUAUAUAUAUAAAAAAUAUCUUCAAAGCAAUUAACAAUUACAAAGACAACAAUAUAUCAAAUCCAACAAAUUUAUAUAUACAACCAAAAUAUUUUCAAAGAUAUGAUAACAUCUACAUCUUACCAAUACUAUGCUUAUAAAAUUACACAAAUAAAAAUAAAAUAAAAUAUCUAUGAACAUUACAUGUUCCCAAAUAACAAAAAAAUAAGUAAGCAAACAUUAAAAACCACAUGCAUUUCACACAUGUUCAUCUUAGUUGCUCCAAAUUUAAUACAAGUACUGCACUUAGUUCUAUCAAAUAUCAAUACAAUUCAAGUUCAUAGCAAACUAAGUUUUACUAUUUCACAAUUGGGCUAUGUCAGGACUUAUCAUUUCCUUCCAAAAAAUUGGAUUUUUUUCUCCAAAAAAUUGGAUUCUACAUCUCAUCUUUUCCGUCUGUGCAUCUGACUCGUUGGAAAAAAAACUAUCAUUAGCUUGGUUUAGGGAAUAAAGUUAUUUACCACAUUAGCAUGUCAUAGCAAUCUAGUAGAAUUAAUGUUGUUACAUUGAAUAUUUUGAAACGCUUCUUUAAAAUGCCAGAUAUCUUUUCCACCAUAUUUCGUAACUAAGCAUGCCGAUGGUUAUACAGAUCUCAUAAAUUUCGAUAUAUACGAGCUCGUGUGUUAUCGUCAAAUUGACUAAUAUGGUAACGUUCUCCUCUAUAGGGGGGAAAAAAUUUAUCUAUAUUUGCGUAUCUCGAAUCUACUAAGUAAUAUUUAUUCACGAUAGUUGUGGAUUACAACUUUUUAAAUAACUCAGUAUGCAACGUUUUAACAACAAACAUUUAUUGUAGGCAACAAAAAUUAAGAUAUUAUCUUCGGGAACGGCGAAACCAUCACUAUCGCACACUCAGCGAAGUACUCUUAUAUCCGAAGCAGAUCUUUUCCAACAUGUACAUUCAAAUAAAAAAUUAUGAUCAAAUGAAAGGGCAGUUAUCAUAUUUUGGAAUGUAAAUCUUUUGCGACAAAGAAAAUGGGCUUGCUUGCUUCUGCAAACCAUCACUGAAAUAUGUGUUCCGUCGAUCGUACCAAUAACAUUCUACAACGCAAGAAAAAUAUUAUAUUGCGAAUUAUUAUUAAUCAUUUAUAAUCCAAUAUUAUAUCUGCAUGAUGGUUUAUCUUGAAAGAAUGAAAAUUUGGAUUAUUCCUAAUUCUUGGAUGUACGAGUGCAUUAUUUGCUGACAAUAUUUUGUAGUCAUCUUUCAACAUCACAAUGUCUCGAAGAACGUUGUUAAAUGUCUACUAAUUGUUUCUCCCGAAUGUUGGAAUAGUUCCGGAAGGAUCCUAUUUGCCACACCAUAGACUACACAAAAUAAAAAAAAAUUGUUAACUGUUCGUCAACAGUCAUAUUUCUUGUGCUACUUAUCAACCCCCUCCCGACUAACUCAUCGCGGAGUGCAAUAAAUGUAGCAGUACUCAUAUGAAUGUGAUGGUAGCAGCGUUCUGGAUGAUCAAUAAAAAUAUUAUAGAGCGUCUGAUGUUCAUUAAAAGGCCGAUUUUGACAUGGUUGCUUGUUCAAUAUAUUUGUGGAUA